This 242-nucleotide ribosomal RNA is filed under the name uncultured bacterium. RNAcentral's name for it is "partial 16S ribosomal RNA". It matches the Rfam family "Bacterial small subunit ribosomal RNA", at positions 113 to 354 of the family's 1533-position model. The record is from RNAcentral.
CGACGUGAGUAACCUGCCUUGGAGUGGGGAAUAACAGCUGGAAACGGCUGCUAAUACCGCAUAAUGCAGUUGGGUCGCAUGGCUCUGACUGCCAAAGAUUUAUCGCUCUGAGAUGGACUCGCGUCUGAUUAGCUGGUUGGCGGGGUAACGGCCCACCAAGGCGACGAUCAGUAGCCGGACUGAGAGGUUGGCCGGCCACAUUGGGACUGAGACACGGCCCAGACUCCUACGGAAGGCAGCAG